This is a non-coding RNA of Octopus bimaculoides (California two-spot octopus), 44 nucleotides long. The record is from Rfam. NCBI's taxonomy places the organism in Eukaryota, Metazoa, Mollusca, Cephalopoda, Octopoda, Octopodidae.
ACACCGGCCCUUUUCAGGGCCCCCACGUUAUAUUUAAGGUUAUC